AAUAGAUACCCAGGUAGUCCACGCCGUAAACGUUGGGCGCUAGGUGUGGGGUCCUUCCACGGAUUCCGUGCCGCAGCUAACGCAUUAAGCGCCCCGCCUGGGGAGUACGGCCGCAAGGCUAAAACUCAAAGGAAUUGACGGGGGCCCGCACAAGCGGUGGAGCAUGUGGCUUAAUUCGAUGCAACGCGAAGAACCUUACCAGGGCUUGACAUGGAGCUGCAAGCUCGUGAAAGCGAGUCGCUUUCGAAGGUGCUUCACAGGUGGUGCAUGGCUGUCGUCAGCUCGUGUUGUGAAAUGUUGGGUUAAGUCCCGCAACGAGCGCAACCCUUACGUUUGUUGCCAGCGAGUAAUGUCGGGAACUCGAAACGAACUGCCUCUGUAAAGAGGAGGAAGGUGGGGAUGACGUCAAGUCAUCAUGCCCCUUACGCCCUGGGCUGCACACAUGCUACAAUGGCCGGUACAAAGGGUUGCUAACCCGCGAGGGUAUGCUAAUCUCAAAAAGCCGGUCUCAGUUCGGAUAGGAGGCUGC
RNAcentral lists this ribosomal RNA (529 nucleotides) under uncultured bacterium. RNAcentral describes it as "bacterial SSU rRNA". It matches the Rfam family "Bacterial small subunit ribosomal RNA", at positions 777 to 1308 of the family's 1533-position model. The record is from RNAcentral.